AAGUUGUAACAAGGUCUCCGUUGGUGAACUAGCGGAGGGAUCAUUAUAGAGUUGCAAAACUCCUAUCACCAUUGCGAACUUACCUUACAACCGUUGCUUUGGCAGGCGGCCCUAGGCUUCUGUUUUCAUAGAUCCUUGGGGCCCUAUGGCCUGAUUGUCAGGUGCCUGCCGGAGGUCAUGCAACUAGACAUUGUUUAUGGCCUGUUAGAAUUUGUACUACUAAUUAGUUAAAACUUUCAACAACGGAUCUCUUGGUUCUG
This 260-nucleotide unclassified non-coding RNA is filed under the name fungal sp. Its description in RNAcentral is "partial internal transcribed spacer region". The record is from RNAcentral. Lineage: Eukaryota; Fungi.